Molecule: long non-coding RNA, 1120 nt
Organism: Ictalurus punctatus (channel catfish)
Lineage: Eukaryota; Metazoa; Chordata; Actinopteri; Siluriformes; Ictaluridae
Source: Ensembl
GCCAUGAUCAGACAGGUCACUAGACUUGACAAAAACUUACAAGCUAUUUUUUUAAUGAAAGAUUGUUAGCUAGUUAUAUCAGAUCCUAAUAGUAGUAAAUUGAACCCUAUAAAAUCUACACCUGAUUACUUCAUCCAGCUUGUAGCCAGUACCAGUACCCAUUGACUAAUGUAAUGGAUUGUUGUGCAGCAAAUCCCAUCAUUGGGGCGUUAUCAAGUUUUGACCAUUUUUGAUAUUCUGAAGCUCAAAUUGCUCACCUCAAACAUUUGUGGUGAUCCUGCACCAACUGAAUAUUAAUAUAACUGGGCAUCAGCCCAUCAACCUCAAAGCCGGGGUGCACUGACCAGUUUGGUCUCCUGUCUGCCAGUGUGUUUGAGAAUGUAAAAACUCUCCUUGGCUCCAGUACUCCGCUCUUAACUCCCAAUGUGUUACUUAAAGUCACCAGAGUUUACUCUAAAACUCAGCUUACCCGUGUGGAUAAUGCAAAUUUUUUAUAUAUAUAUAUAUAUUUAAAAAUUCACUUAAAUUCCAACAGUUCAUAUAGUCAACAGUAUGAUGUGUAAAUAAGGAGAAGUCAGCAAGAACGACGAUACAACUUCACACAUUUCAUCACUUUAUUGUAGGACACACUUAUUUCAGCACUUUAACAUCAGAAUAAAAGGAACAUGUAGUAUUGUAGGGAUUUAGUGCACAGUCAGUACACAGUUUACUAGAAUUAUUCUAACACACCAGAAGGUUCCUGUGCAAAAGUCUACCUGAGUGUUCCAUCAGCAUGUACCUGUCCUGAUUUACCCGUCCUGCUCCUGAAAAACAUUAACAUGUCAUUAAUAUGUGAAUAGGAGACCACGUUUCACUUUUCACCACAGGAACAAACUGCAACUUCUCUACAGUUUAGAGAUUAUAUAAAAUGUUCAUGUUCUCCACAUGUGAGAUCGUCUGAAAGCUGAGACUCUACAGUUUCUCUGUGUUUUAGUCGUGUGUUUGUGUGUGUGUGUGUAAGAUCAAAUCCCUUCAUGCUGUAAAGAGAGAAAGAGGACACGAGUGAACCUGACCAUGCUGAAACUCGCAGGCGAUGCUCACGGCCCCGAAGAGUUAACACACCUUUCAACUGUGUGUGUGU